Molecule: small nucleolar RNA, 143 nt
Filed under: Drosophila mojavensis
Lineage: Eukaryota; Metazoa; Arthropoda; Insecta; Diptera; Drosophilidae
Description: snoRNA:GI25324
Source: RNAcentral
GCAAAACUUAAUUCCGGAUUUGGUGUAACUCUUGAGCUGCCAACCUCGGCCAGACAUUUUGCUAGAAUAAAGCUCCAAAGGCUUUGGCGUCUUCAGCAGUUGCCUCAUUUCAUGGCCUCGGUCUGAACAUGCCAUUGCUACAA